CCUACGGGUGGCAGCAGUGAGGAAUAUUGGUCAAUGGGCGGAAGCCUGAACCAGCCAAGUAGCGUGCAGGAUGACGGCCCUACGGGUUGUAAACUGCUUUUAUACGGGAAUAACGCGCCUUACGUGUAGGGCUUUGCAUGUAUCGUAUGAAUAAGGGCCGGCUAAUUCCGUGCCAGCAGCAGCGGUAAUACGGAAGGUACGGGCGUUAUCCGGAUUUAUUGGGUGUAGAGGGAGCGUAGGCCGCAUGUCAUGCGUGCUGUGAAAUGUCCGGGCUCAACCCGGGCCAUGCAGUGCAAACUGGCGUGCUUGAGUCCGCGGAAGGCAGGCGGAAUUCGUCGUGUAGCGGUGAAAUGUUUAGAUAUGACGAAGAACCCCGAUUGCGAAGGCAGCUUGCUGCAGCGGAACUGACGCUGAUGCUCGAAAGCGCGGGUAUCGAACAGGAUUAGAUACCCUUGUAGUC
Molecule: ribosomal RNA, 460 nt
Filed under: uncultured bacterium
Lineage: Bacteria
Description: partial 16S ribosomal RNA
Rfam family: Bacterial small subunit ribosomal RNA
Source: RNAcentral